This 512-nucleotide ribosomal RNA is filed under the name uncultured bacterium. RNAcentral describes it as "bacterial SSU rRNA". It matches the Rfam family "Bacterial small subunit ribosomal RNA", at positions 16 to 508 of the family's 1533-position model. The record is from RNAcentral.
AUCAUGGCUCAGAACGAACGUUAGCGGCGCGCCUAACACAUGCAAGUCGCACGAGAAAGGGCUUCGGCCCCGGUACAGUGGCGCACGGGUGAGUAACACGUGGGUAAUCUGCCCUCGAGCGGGGGAUAACAUUCCGAAAGGAGUGCUAAUACCGCAUAAGACCACGACCUCGAAAGAGGAUGCGGUCAAAGCUGGCCUCUAUACAUAAGCUAGCACUUGAGGAUGAGCCCGCGGCGCAUCAGCUAGUUGGUGGGGUAAUGGCCCACCAAGGCUAAGACGCGUAGCUGGUCUGAGAGGAUGAUCAGCCACACUGGAACUGAGACACGGUCCAGACUCCUACGGGAGGCAGCAGUGGGGAAUCUUGCGCAAUGGGCGAAAGCCUGACGCAGCGACGCCGCGUGAGUGAUGAAGGCCUUCGGGUUGUAAAGCUUCUGUGGGGAGAGACGAAUAAGUGCAGCCUAAUACGUUGCAUAUGACGGUAUCUCCUUAGCAAGCACCGGCUAAUAUAGUGC